RNAcentral lists this ribosomal RNA (424 nucleotides) under Dinochelus ausubeli (Ausubel's mighty clawed lobster). Its description in RNAcentral is "partial 16S ribosomal RNA". It matches the Rfam family "Bacterial large subunit ribosomal RNA", at positions 1967 to 2598 of the family's 2925-position model. The record is from RNAcentral. Lineage: Eukaryota; Metazoa; Arthropoda; Malacostraca; Decapoda; Nephropidae.
AUUAGUUUCUUAAUUGGAGGCUUGUAUGAAGGGUUGGACAAGAAGUAAGCUGUCUCAGUUACAAAAAUUGAAAUUGACUUUUAAGUGAAAAGGCUUAAAUAAUUUAGAGGGACGAUAAGACCCUAUAAAGCUUAAUAAUUUAAGGUAUUUUUUAAUGAUUUAUAUAUUUAAAUUUAUUUAUAUUUAAAAUUAUUUCGUUGGGGCGACGAUAAUAUAAUUUGUAACUGUUUAAAUUUUUACACAAAGAUAAUUGUAUUUAAUGAUCCUUGUUGUUGAUUAAAAGUUUAAGUUACUUUAGGGAUAACAGCGUUAUUUAUUUUGAGAGUUCAUAUCGAUAAAAAAGAUUGCGACCUCGAUGUUGAAUUAAAAUUUCACUGUGGUGUAGAAGUUACAGAGGAAGGUCUGUUCGACCUUUAAAAUUUUA